UAAUGUCUGGGAAACUGCCUGAUGGAGGGGGAUAACUACUGGAAACGGUAGCUAAUACCGCAUAAUGCCGCAAGACCAAAGUGGGGGACCUUCGGGCCUCAUGCCAUCAGAUGUGCCCAGAUGGGAUUAGCUAGUAGGUGGGGUAACGGCUCACCUAGGCGACGAUCCCUAGCUGGUCUGAGAGGAUGACCAGCCACACUGGAACUGAGACACGGUCCAG
Molecule: ribosomal RNA, 220 nt
Filed under: uncultured bacterium
Lineage: Bacteria
Description: partial 16S ribosomal RNA
Rfam family: Bacterial small subunit ribosomal RNA
Source: RNAcentral